ACUACAGCCUCAGUGCAUGGCGGUGGGCGCUUCCAGUAACUCAGGGGUGGGACUUUUUUCUUGCUCAGGGGAUGAGGCCGAGCCCACAGGCUUAGAAAGAAGGAACUUGAGUCCGGGCACCUGUCAUCCCAGCGCUUAGGGAGGCCGAGGCGGGUGGAUCACCUGAGGUCAGGAGUUCGAGACCAGCCUGGCCAAUAUGGCGAAACCCCCGUCUCUACUAAAAAUACAAAAAUUAGCCGAGCAUGGUGGCAUGCACUUCCAGCUACUUGGAAGGCUGAGGCGGGAGAAUGGCUUGAACCUGGGAGGCGAGGGUUGCAGUGAGCUGAGAUCGCACCACUGCACUCCAGCCUGGGUGACAGAGCGAGACUUCGUCUCAAAAAAAAAGAAGAAGAAAGAAGGAAGCUGAGGUUCAGACAGGCUAAGUCCCUACUGCAGGCUGCGGAAUCUAAAAAGGUCAUGAACUCUGAGAGUUUGAGAUGAGCCUCUAAAAGCUGUAUCAAUAGCACCUUGCACUGUUGAAGCAGGUAAGUGUUUUCCUUGUUACUUCUUAAGUUCAGUUGGAAACCCAACAUAGCAAAUCCUCUAGAAUGCAGCUGAAGCAGUACUAAGGCUGGGUGUGGUGGCUCAUGCCUAUAAUCCUGUAGGGAGGCAAAAGCGGGAGGAUUGCUGGAGCCCAGGAGUUCAAGACCAGCCUGGGCAACACGGCAAGACCUGGUUCUCCACAAAAAGGAAAAAAAAAUGCUAAGAGGCAAGUAUAUAGCAAUAAACUCCUACAUCAAAAAAGUAGAAACAUUUCAAAUAAGAGA
This 806-nucleotide long non-coding RNA is filed under the name Homo sapiens (human). Its description in RNAcentral is "non-protein coding lnc-SMIM17-5:5". The record is from RNAcentral. Lineage: Eukaryota; Metazoa; Chordata; Mammalia; Primates; Hominidae.